This 500-nucleotide ribosomal RNA is filed under the name uncultured bacterium. Its description in RNAcentral is "bacterial SSU rRNA". It matches the Rfam family "Bacterial small subunit ribosomal RNA", at positions 396 to 887 of the family's 1533-position model. The record is from RNAcentral.
ACCGCGUGUGUGAAGAAGGCCUUAGGGUUGUAAAGCACUUUCAAUAGGGAGGAAUACCUUUUAGCUAAUACCUAGAAGAAUGACAUUACCUAUAGAAGAAGCACCGGCUAACUCCGUGCCAGCAGCCGCGGUAAUACGGAGGGUGCAAGCGUUAAUCGGAAUUACUGGGCGUAAAGCGUGCGUAGGCGGCUAAUUAAGCCAGAUGUGAAAGCCCUGGGCUUAACCUGGGAACUGCAUUUGGAACUGGUAAGCUAGAGUUGAGUAGAGGUAAGUGGAAUUUCAGGUGUAGCGGUGAAAUGCGUAGAGAUCUGAAGGAACACCAGUGGCGAAGGCGACUUACUGGACUCAAACUGACGCUGAGGUACGAAAGCGUGGGUAGCAAACAGGAUUAGAUACCCUGGUAGUCCACGCUGUUAACGAUGUCAACUAGCCGUAGGUCUUUAUAUAAAGAUUAGUGGCGAAGCAAACGCGGAUACGUUGAGCGCCUGGGGAGUACGGCC